Molecule: long non-coding RNA, 2842 nt
Filed under: Mus musculus (house mouse)
Lineage: Eukaryota; Metazoa; Chordata; Mammalia; Rodentia; Muridae
Description: long non-coding RNA chr18:86221887-86224729
Source: RNAcentral
UUUUUGAAAUUUGGGAACAGUGUAUUUUUAAUAUUGGGGGAUAUAUACUAUUUACUUUCCUAUACUUGAGCCUCUUGAAAAUUUGUCCUGAAAAUUACUGAGGUCUUACUUAAAAAGGUGAGCCAUUCUUCACUGUAAUGCUAAAAACUAACAUAUUUCACUUGUCAAAUUUGCUGAGGAUGAAAGGUAUCGCUUGGCAAAGCUUAUAUCCAUCACUAUUUACAUAUUGGCAGUAGAUAAAUUCAGGAAUUUCCACUGAAGAAAAAAGGGCAAGCUAAAUACACAUAAAUAAGUAAGGAGUGGCUUUGAAACUCCUUCUAGAUAAAAAUUGGGGUCCAACUGAGGUUCCCAUACUUUGCCAAGCACAAGUGUCCAAAAGCACAUAGGUUUCUCUUGACGCUCCUCUUGACACUGUCACAGGCGGCACUGAAUCACUCACUGGGCAGUGAGCCAAACUACCCGCACAGACAAUGAAUUAGCAGAGCAAUGUAGCAGAAAGUGGAUGGAUUUGACCCAAACAGAUGUGGCUUUACGUCCAGAGAAAGAGUCUUAUUUCAGGUCAAGUUUUUAACUCAUGUUUGUUUGUUUGUUGCUUGCUAUUUUGUUUUUGUUGUUGGUUUGGUUUGGUUUGGUUUGUGUGUAUGAAUGAUUUAGAUGCAUUUGUUUGUUUUAAACUAUUUAUUCAUUUUACAUCACACUCACUGCGUCACUUCCCAGUCACCCAAUUCCACAGUCCUCCCCUAUCCCCUUCCCCUUCUCUUCUGAGAGGGUAUACCCUAAAUAUCUCCCCACCCUGGCAUAUCCAGUCUCAGAGGUGUAGAUGCAUCCUCUCCCAACUAGGCUAGACAAGACAGCCCACCUAGAAGAACCACCCCCAUGACCCACAUCAUCCCAGUUCACUGUCUCCAUUAGCCUUUUAAUGAGUAUUUUAUUCUCUCUUCUAAGUGAGAUCCAGGCACCCUCCCUUGUGCUUUCCUACUUGCUUAGUUUUCUUGGGUCUGUGGAGUAUAGCAUGGGUAUCCUGUAUUUUAUGGCUAACAUCUACUUAUAACUGGGUAUAUACAAUGCAUGCUCUUUGGGGUCUAGAUUAUGUCACUCAGGAUGAUUUUCUCAAGUUCCAUCUAUUUGCCUGCAAAAUUCAUGAUGUCUUUCUUUGUUUUUAAUAGCCGAAUAGUACUCCAUUGUGUAGAAUGGAGUCAAAAGUUUUAAACUCUUAACUAGACUUGGAGUUUUUCCAUCUAGUGAGCUAAGGGAAUGACAUUUGUAUUUUGUUAAGGGAUAAGCAUGUGGGUUAAGGAAGUGCACAUUACUAUUGAACAUUCUGAAUAGUUGUCUUUUACUUGCUAAGUGACACCAUGGACUUGCUGAGCUGUUGGCUAAAGAUUCAGGUCAUUGUCAGGUACAGUGAUAGAGACAAUUGGGGGAUAGUGAAGCUGAAGUCUGGACACAGUCCUAAUUUCUCUAGGUGCUCAGCUGUACUCUGAAAAAAAUGAAUCUGAGUCUGCAGUUGGAAACAUUGCAAAACUUGAUUGAAAGAAAAGUAUUUUUUAAAAAAAUACUAUCAUCUUUUAUAUAGAUAUGAGGUCACUGAAAUUAUUAUGAGUCACUAAAGAGUAAAGAAAGUAUGAAUAAUGGGUGAAAUGAGGGAGUGGACAGUAACUGCAGAUCCAUCCUGUACUGCCAGACCUCUACUCUGUUGUAAGCAUAAUGACUUCCAUAUGCCCGUUCCUUACCUUAUUUGUAAUGAUGACUAUAUUGCUUUGAAAUAACAACAACAACAACAACAACAACAACAACAACAAAAAGACUUUUCAGUGGUUAUAAAGGAAUCAGCCUUAAAAUGAAAAGAGCAUCCUGUCUGAUUCAAUGGGCAUAAUAUGAUCACAUUGAUGUACAGAAAGAAACCAGGAUCUAGGUCUUCUAUCAGCAAGGACUUCACUGUGCUGAGAGAAUACACAAGGAGAAAACAGAAUCCUCUCAAGGACAUAGGAGAAGCACCUUCCUGCCCUCAUCCUCUUUUGGUAUCCUGAGCCUCUCAGCAAAGGACCCAGCCCAGUGAAAUGUACUGAGAUGUCUGUUAGUGACAGAACACUGAGGUUCAAUAGUAGUCCAUGUGUUUAAGCUGCCAAGUUUGUGGAUACAUACAUACAUACAUACAUACAUACAUAUAUAUAUAUAUAUAUAAUGUAUAUAUUGUGGAAGAAACCAACAACAAUGCACACCAUUUAUAUACUCUGCAUCCUUGGGAAGGAUUAAUGUUACAAUGAGGAAAAUCACUUAAGGUCUCAUGUAAGUUUAUAUCCUUUCAAUGGUCUGUUGCAUCCACAUGCAAUUAUCCAUCUUACUUGAUGCACAAUGCAAACUGACUUGUGAAUGAAAUAGAAAACCCACUUAGAAUCUCACGGAAGCUAACUAUGGAAUCACAUGUCUGCUAAAGUUUUCCAACAGUGUCUGAGUUUAAAGGUAAAAUCUAUAUGUUGACAAGAAAGAAGACUAGGAAUGUUUCAGGCAAAACUUGCUGUUGAUAUAGAAGAUGGGUCUCUAGAGGAUAAUGAAAAUGUCAGUACAAAAUGCUCAGAGUUUGCUAAAGUUUAUGGUUUUUUAUAUUUAAAAUAUUUCAGAGCUCAUAAUUUCAUAGGCACCAUAAAUUUUAAAUACAGAGUAGUUUUCGAAAGUGAAAUAAAUGCUGCAUAGCUUAUGAUUGCCAAAAGACCUUUAAAAUGUUUAAAAUGUAAGACAAACACAUUGUUUACUUCAUGUAUCCAGAGACACACAUGAAAGAAAAAAAAAUCCUAAAGUGAAGAUCAUUUUGUAGCUAUGCAAAAAACAAAACAAAACAAAC